This 508-nucleotide ribosomal RNA is filed under the name Rhizophlyctis rosea. RNAcentral describes it as "SSU rRNA". It matches the Rfam family "Eukaryotic small subunit ribosomal RNA", at positions 569 to 1078 of the family's 1831-position model. The record is from RNAcentral. Lineage: Eukaryota; Fungi; Chytridiomycota; Chytridiomycetes; Rhizophlyctidales; Rhizophlyctidaceae.
AGCAGCCGCGGUAAUUCCAGCUCCAAUAGCGUAUAUUAAAGUUGUUGCAGUUAAAAAGCUCGUAGUUGAAUUUUGGGCCUGGCUGGGUGGUCUUGCCGCAAGGUAAGCACUGCUCUGGUCGGGUCUUUCCUUCUGGGGAGCCAGCGUGCUCUUAACUGAGUGCGUUGGGGAUCCAGGACUUUUACUUUGAAAAAAUUAGAGUGUUUAAAGCAGGCUUACGCUUGAAUACAUUAGCAUGGAAUAAUAGAAUAGGACUUUGGUUCUAUUUUGUUGGUUUCUAGGACCGAAGUAAUGAUUAAUAGGGAUAGUUGGGGGCAUUAGUAUUUAAUUGUCAGAGGUGAAAUUCUUGGAUUUAUGAAAGACUAACUUCUGCGAAAGCAUUUGCCAAGGAUGUUUUCAUUAAUCAAGAACGAAAGUUAGGGGAUCGAAGACGAUCAGAUACCGUCGUAGUCUUAACCAUAAACUAUGCCGACUAGGGAUCGGACGAUGUUAAUUUUUUAAUGACUCG